GAGCACGUAGGUGGGUUUGUAAGUCAGAUGUGAAAGCCUUCUGUUCAACGGAAGAAUUGCAUCUGAAACUGCGAGUCUUGAGUGUAGGAGGGGAGAAUGGAACUUCUGGUGGAGCGGUGAAAUGCGUAGAUAUCAGAAGGAACGCCGGCGGCGAAAGCGAUUCUCUGGCCUAUUACUGACACUCAGUGUGCGAAAGCUAGGGGAGCAAACGGGAUUAGAUACCCCGGUAGUCCUAGCCGUAAACGAUGGGCACUAAGUAGAGGGAAUUACCGAUAUUCUCUCUGCCGUAGCUAACGCAUUAAGUGCCCCGCCUGGGGAGUACGGCCGCAAGGCUAAAACUCAAAAGAAUUGACGGGGGCUCGCACAAGCGGUGGAGCAUGUGGCUUAAUUCGAUGCAACGCGAAAAACCUUACCGGGGCUUGACAUGGUAGAAGUAGGAACCCGAAAGGGUAACGAACGGUGUCCAGUCCGUAACUAUUACAGGUGUUGCAUGGCUGUCGUCAGCUCGUGUCGUGAGACGUUGGGUUAAGUCCCCUAACGAGCGAAACCCUUGUUUUUAGUUGCCAGCGGGUUAUGCCGGGCACUCUAGAAAGACUGCCGUCGUCAAGACGGAGGAAGGUGGGGACGACGUCAAGUCAUCAUGGCCCUUAUGCCCCGGGCUGCACACGUGCUACAAUGGCCGGUACAAACGGAAGCGAAGCCGAGAGGUGAAGCGAAUCC
RNAcentral lists this ribosomal RNA (720 nucleotides) under uncultured anaerobic ammonium-oxidizing bacterium. Its description in RNAcentral is "bacterial SSU rRNA". It matches the Rfam family "Bacterial small subunit ribosomal RNA", at positions 565 to 1274 of the family's 1533-position model. The record is from RNAcentral.